This 2922-nucleotide long non-coding RNA is filed under the name Homo sapiens (human). Its description in RNAcentral is "non-protein coding lnc-UNCX-3:21". The record is from RNAcentral. Lineage: Eukaryota; Metazoa; Chordata; Mammalia; Primates; Hominidae.
GCUUCUCGCAGGCGGCGCGCUUGCUGGGUCACAGUGAGGCGGCUCCGCGCAGGCGCAGCCGGGCGGGCGAGGAGCGGGGAAGCUGACUCAGGGCUGCGGCCGGGGUCCUGCGGGGUAGGAGCGCGAGGCCGGCCUGAGGGAGGAGGCCUAGCGACCCAUCCGGCGCCUCCCGCCCCGGGCACCCGCCCGCGGCCGCGCAUCCUGCGGGCCCCAGGAGGCCUCCAUCUCAAAACAACGUGUUUUUAGAGAACUCAAGGGCUGUGAAAAGAGCAGGACCUCACCAGCUGCACGGCGGUGGUGACUGGCUCCAUCUUGCUGUCCCUCCCAAUCACACAACAUCUCCCCUUGAAGGCUCUGCCCAGGCCCGGACUCCCACCUUUCAAGAUGUCUGGAUCAGUGCAGGACCUCCUCCUUGGCCACAUCGCUCUCCUUGGACUGGUUCAAGUGAUUCUCCCACCUCAGCCUCCCAAGUAGGAUUACAGUGUUGACUCACCUGUGGAGUGGUCUGAGCCUGAAUGCCCGGGGCUGUGGCCACCGAGUGAACGGGCUGUGCUAAGGGGAAUUGCCACCUUGGGAAACCUGUGUAGUUGCGGCUUUUCUGAUUAAGUAUCAAUAAAAGUCUGACCUUGUGAAAAAAGCAAACGUGAGUGGCCCUGCUUAUGUUUCACCUUGCGUUGCUCAGUGAUAGUUCUGCAAAGUCGCAGGAAACCUGGAAUCAUCUAAUUAUCGUGAGUGUUGGUUCCUUAUUUAAUAAUGUCUAGUUGAUUCAUUAACAUGGAAUUCAUGGCCAGUACCUCUGUCACUCAUGCCUGACUGAAGUUGAUCAGCACGUCUUUUUCUCCCUUAGGCACAUGACAGCCUUCUUGCAAUCAAGAAACUACGUGUGGCCAGGAUCUCAUCCACUAUCACAGUUUCAGCUUUCCCCAAACUGGAAUGUGUCUUUGCAGACGCCCAUCCUUAUUAAAGGGCAAAGACUUCUCAUACACCUAGGAUGGAUCUUAUAUUCUUGGCGGGACUGCAGAGAAGGUGCCGUGUCCUGAGUCCUCAUGUCAGGGCACAGGCUUCCAGCCAGUUCUACCUGGGUUAUGUUUAUCUCAAUUCCCUGGUGGUAUUGGUGUCUGCUGGGUUUUGCCAGAAUGAAGACACCGUGUUUUCAUUUGUCAGUUGAUUCGUAUUUUCCAGGAAGACAUUCUGAGAUUACAGCAUUGUCUUAGUCAAGGUGCUGCAGAAGGACAGAACUAAUAGGAUAUAUGUACAUAUGAAAGAAAGUUUAUGAAGAACUGGCUCACACCAUCACAAGGCAAAGUCCCAUGACAGGCCAUCUGCAAGCUGAGGAGCGAGGAAGCCAGCAGUGGCUCAGCCGGAGUCCAACAGCCUCAAACGGAAUCCAACAGUUCAGGCUUCAGUCUGUGGCCAAAUGCCCAGAGACCCCGGAAAGCUACUGGUGUUAGUCCCAGAGCCGGAAGGCCAAAGAACCUGGAGUGUGAUGUCCAAGGGCAGGAGGAAUGGACAGAAGCAUCCAGCAUGGGGUAAAGACGAAAGCCAGAAGACUCAGCAAGCUAGCUUACCUACUUUCUUCUGCCUGCCUUGUUCUAGCCGCGCUGGCAGCCGGUUGGAGGGUGCCCACCCCCACUGAGGGUGGAUCUUCCUCUCCUAGUCCACUGACUCAAAUUUCAGUCUCUCUGGGAGCACCAUCACACCAGAAACAAUACCAGCCAUCUAGCCACCCUUCAGUUCACCAUCACAACCAUUGUCUUAUUCAUGAAACUUCUGCAGACCCACCUUAACCUCCAUCGGUGACUUCUACCUGAAGCCCUCUGAUUGUUGCCCAGUGGUGCUUUUUAAAAUAAUUUCCAUAGUUUCUUCUACACCUUUAGUUGGCAUUCUACUGUAAAGGAGAGAUUUUAUUUUCUUACUCAUUUAUUUGUUAGUUUAUAGUCACCACCAUAUGGAUGCAGAGUUCUGUCUCAUUCACUGGGAAGUAUUCUAUUGCAGUCAUGAUUUAUUUUGAUGUUCACAUCCCAGAGUUGGUGAGUGAGCGCCCCUUCACGCUGGCUCCCGAGUGCUGACGUGUCCCCGUCCUUCUCUGCACUUUUCCUUACCUCCUGGCCUCAGAUAUUCCAGGGUCAUUUGUUCUCUCCCUGCUCCAACCCUGCAGUCAGCCAUCUCCCUAGGGACGUUGGUUCCUUUAUGGAAGGUGGCAUUUAGAAGCCAGGAUUUGGGCUGAGCACUGUGGCUCAUGCUUGUAAUCCCAGCACUUGGGGAGGCCGAAGUGGGCGGAUCGCUGGAGGCCAAGAGUCUGAGACCAGCCUGGCUAACAUGGUGAAACCCUUCCCCGUCUCUACUACAAAUAAAAAAUUAGCUGGGUGUGUUGGCACGUGCCUGUAAUCCCAGUUACUCAGGAGGCUGAAGCACCAGAAUCUCUUGAACCCAGGAGGCCGAGGUUGCAGUGAGCCAAGAUUGCACCACUGCACUACAGCUUGGGUGACAGCGCGAGACACCGUCUCAAAAAGGAUAAUAAUUUAAAAAACAGCAGGAUUUGGGUGAGCAGUGCGCUCAUUGCUUCUGGGCUCUCUCGGUGGACAUAGGCUAGGAAUGUAAGAUGUAUGUGCCUGUGUAUAUACACACGUCUGUAGCUAUGUCUAUGUUGCAUACAUGUGUUUUUCCAAAAACCAAAUCCAUAACCAUGCCUUCAGUUUCAGCCCAACACCUCCGGGCUCUUUCUAGCUUUCUACCUUUCAUGAUUGUGAAUACCUUCUCCAGCAGUGAGAAACCUGGCUCCUUUGUCCUCAGUGGAUUUUCUUAUUUGCUCAAUUUUUUUGUUUUUUGUUUUGUUUUUGUUUUUGAGACAGAGUCUUGUUCUGUCACCCAAGCUGGAGUGCAGUGGCAUAAUCUCGGCUUACCGCAACCUCUGCCUCCUGG